Molecule: ribosomal RNA, 469 nt
Filed under: Capnocytophaga sp. oral taxon 338
Lineage: Bacteria; Pseudomonadati; Bacteroidota; Flavobacteriia; Flavobacteriales; Flavobacteriaceae
Description: bacterial SSU rRNA
Rfam family: Bacterial small subunit ribosomal RNA
Source: RNAcentral
GAUGAACGCUAGCGGCAGGCCUAACACAUGCAAGUCGAGGGAGAAGCCCUUCGGGGCAGAAACCGGCGCACGGGUGCGUAACGCGUAUGCAACCUACCUUUCACAGGGGGAUAGCCCGGAGAAAUUUGGAUUAAUAUCCCAUAAUAUUGUUGGAUGGCAUCAUUUGGCAAUUAAAGUUACGAUGGUGGAAGAUGGGCAUGCGUCCUAUUAGCUAGUUGGCGAGGUAACGGCUCGCCAAGGCGACGAUAGGUAGGGGUCCUGAGAGGGAGAUCCCCCACACUGGUACUGAGACAGGGACCAGACUCCUACGGGAGGCAGCAGUGAGGAAUAUUGGUCAAUGGUCGGAAGACUGAACCAGCCAUGCCGCGUGCAGGAAGGCGGCCUUAUGGGUUGUAAACUGCUUUUAUAUGGGAAGAAUAAGGAGUACGUGUACUUUGAUGACGGUACCAUAUGAAUAAGCAUCGGCUAA